CGACCUCAUUUCAUGGAUCAGUGAACAAGGUUAAGUUUUGGUGGUCAAGUCCAUAUCUCAGAUACUAUAAGCUAUAGGUCUUGUAUAUUCGGUGUAUGGAAGGACUGUAAGGUGUACAUGUCCAACCGGCAGGUGUCAUCUGACCUUGACCUCAUUUUCAUGGUUCAGUGGUUAUUGUUAAGUUUUGUGUUUUGGUCUGUUUUUCUUAUACUAUAAGCUAUAGGUCUUGUAUAUUCGGUGUAUGGAAGGACUGUAAGGUGUACAUGUCCAACCGGCAGGUGUCAUCUGACCUUGACCUCAUUUUCAUGGUUCAGUGGUUAUUGUUAAGUUUUUGUGUUUUGGUCUGUUUUUCUUUUACUAUAUGCAAUAGGUCUUCUAUAUUUGGUGUAUGGAAGGAUUGUAAGGUGUACAUGUCUAGCUGGCAGGUGUCAUCUGACCUUGACCUCAUUUUCAUGGUUCAGUGGUUAUUGUUAAGUUUUUGUGUUUUGGUCUGUUUUUCUUAUACUAUAUGCAAUAGUCUUCUAUAUUUGGUGUAUGGAAGGAUUGUAAGGUGUACAUGUCUAGCUGGCAGGUGUCAUCUGACCUUGACCUCAUUUUCAUGGUUCAGUGGUUAUUGUAAGUUUUUGUGUUUUGGUCUGUUUUUCUUAUACUAUAUGCAAUAGGUCUUCUAUAUUUGGUGUAUGGAAGGAUUGUAAGGUGUACAUGUCUAGCUGGCAGGUGUCAUCUGACCUUGACCUCAUUUUCAUGGUUCAGUGGUUAUUGUUAAGUUUUUGAGUUUUGGUCUUUUUCUAAAUACUAUAUGCAAUAUGUUAACUAUAUUUGGUGUAUGGAAAUAUUUUAUGAUCUAUAUAUUAGUUGUGCAGGUUUUAUUUGGCCUUGACCUCAUUUUCACGGUUCAUUGCUCAGUGUUAAGUUUUUGUCGAGCCUGCAACUUUUGUUGCAGAAAGCUCGAUAUAGGGAUAGUGAUCCGGCGGCGGCGGCGGCUACGUCGGCGGCGUUAGCUCACUUCUUAAAAGCUUUAUAUUUUAGAAGGUGGAAGACCUGGAUGCUUCAUACUUUGUAUAUAGAUGCUUCAUGUUACGAAGUUUCCGUCAGUCACAUGUCCAAUGUCCUUGACCUCAUUUUCAUGGUUCAGUGACCACUUGAAAAAAAAGUUCAAAUUUUUUGUAAUGUUAAAUUCUCUCUUAUUAUAAGUAAUAGGAUAACUAUAUUUGGUAUGUGCGUACAUUGCAAGGUCCUCAUGCCUGUCAGACAGUUUUCACUUGACCUCGACCUCAUUUCAUGGAUCAGUGAACAAGGUUAAGUUUUGGUGGUCAAGUCCAUAUCUCAGAUACUAUAAGCUAUAGGUUUUGUAUAUUCGGUGUAUGGAAGGACUGUAAGGUGUACAUGUCCAACUUGCAGGUGUCAUCUGACCUUGACCUCAUUUUCAUGGUUCAGUGGUUAUUGUUAAGUUUUUGUGUUUUGGUCUGUUUUUCUUAUACUAUAUGCAAUAGGUCUUCUAUAUUGGUGUAUGGAAGGAUUGUAAGGUGUACAUGUCUAGCUGGCAGGUGUCAUCUGACCUUGACCUCAUUUUCAUGGUUCAGUGGUUAUUGUUAAGUUUUUGUGUUUUGGU
Molecule: long non-coding RNA, 1612 nt
Filed under: Mytilus galloprovincialis (Mediterranean mussel)
Lineage: Eukaryota; Metazoa; Mollusca; Bivalvia; Mytilida; Mytilidae
Source: RNAcentral